UUGAAUUUCGGGGUUAGUAAGUUGGUCGUGCCUCCGGUAUGUACUGGCUUUACUGAUUCCUCCUUCUUGAUGAACUGUAAUGUCAUUAAUUUGGUGNUGCUAGGGGAUUCAGGACUGUUACUUUGAAAAAUUAGAGUGUUUAAAGCAGGCAUACGCUUGAAUACAUUAGCAUGGAAUAAUGAAAUAGGACGUUUGAUCCUAUUUUGUUGGUUUCUAGGAUUGACGUAAUGAUUAAUAGGGAUAGUUGGGGGCAUUAGUAUUCAAUUGUCAGAGGUGAAAUUCUUGUAUUUAUUGAAGACUAACUACUGCGAAAGCAUUUGCCAAGGAUGUUUUCAUUAAUCAAGAACGAAAGUUAGGGGAUCGAAGACGAUCAGAUACCGUCGUAGUCUUAACCAUAAACUAUGCCGACUAGGGAUCGGAUGAUGUUAUUUUAAUGACAC
Molecule: ribosomal RNA, 440 nt
Filed under: fungal sp.
Lineage: Eukaryota; Fungi
Description: SSU rRNA
Rfam family: Eukaryotic small subunit ribosomal RNA
Source: RNAcentral